RNAcentral lists this ribosomal RNA (403 nucleotides) under bacterium. RNAcentral's name for it is "partial 16S ribosomal RNA". It matches the Rfam family "Bacterial small subunit ribosomal RNA", at positions 355 to 776 of the family's 1533-position model. The record is from RNAcentral.
UGGGGAAUAUUGCACAAUGGGGGAAACCCUGAUGCAGCGACGCCGCGUGAACGAAGAAGGUAUUCGUAUCGUAAAGUUCUGUCCUAUGGGAAGAUAAUGACAGUACCAUAGAAGAAAGCUCCGGCUAAAUACGUGCCAGCAGCCGCGGUAAUACGUAUGGAGCGAGCGUUGUCCGGAAUUAUUGGGCGUAAAGGGUACGCAGGCGGUUUAAUAAGUCGAAUGUUAAAGAUCGGGGCUCAACCCCGUAAAGCAUUGGAAACUGAUAAACUUGAGUAGUGGAGAGGAAAGUGGAAUUCCUAGUGUAGUGGUGAAAUACGUAGAUAUUAGGAGGGAUACCAGUAGCGAAGGCGACUUUCUGGACACAAACUGACGCUGAGGUACGAAAGCGUGGGGAGCAAACAGG